UACCAGCACCCCGAGUGGUCGGGACGAUUAUUGGGCCUAAAGCAUCCGUAGGCGGCCUUACAAGUCCCCCGUUAAAUCCAACUGCUUAACAGAUGGGCUGCGGAGGAUACUAUAAGACUAGGAGGCAGGAGAGGCAAGCGGUACUCAGUGGGUAGGGGUAAAAUCCGUUGAUCCAUUGAAGACCACCAGUGGCGAAGGCGGCUUGCCAGAAUGCGCUCGACGGUGAGGGAUGAAAGCUGGGGGAGCAAACCGG
This 253-nucleotide ribosomal RNA is filed under the name uncultured bacterium. RNAcentral's name for it is "partial 16S ribosomal RNA". It matches the Rfam family "Archaeal small subunit ribosomal RNA", at positions 474 to 727 of the family's 1478-position model. The record is from RNAcentral.